UGUUUUUUUAUUGAGUCAGGUUUAUAUUUAGAAUCUAUUCUUCUUGCCUAAACAAAUUAAUUAUACUUUUUUUUUGUGAGUAGUUAUUGAUAGAACUUCUGUAACAAACUUUUGCACUCAUUACAUGCUAAUCUUGUUCUCAUUGCCGCUCAUUUUCCGAUUACGAACCCUUCAAAACCUCCGCGAAUACGGCGGUGACACACUCAACGCCAUGCCUCAGGUGUAUCACUGAUGCUCACAUCACCUGAUCUCGAAGAAGAGUCAGUUACAUCCUGUACCUUGUUUGAAUUGUCAAGCUUUUUGCUACGAAUCUGCUUUGCAAAUGUAAUAACCGCUUUCCACACCCUUUCAUCACUUGGUGUUCCGUUGCCUUCUGGUGGAACGUCUUCAUGUGAUUCCCUGGAUUUUAGACACUUGAUGGCUGAUAUUAGUACACAAAUAGUAGAAGUGGCACCAGAGAUGACAUAUAGAGCCCAUAAGCUUCCAAGAUUCAAACUAUCCGAAUCACUGGAGGACGUCACGUUGGAGCAAUCUUGUGAUGUAAUUAACCACUGUUCUUCCAAUCUCUUCAAUUCUGCCUUUUCUGAGAGAUGUAAUAUAGCUUUAGAGAAAUCUCUGGGUAAGGAAGGGCAUUAACGAGUUAAACUGUAUCAUCACUUACAAAGCCCAAUCCUCCAAAUCUAUUUCUAGGAAUGAAGCCGGUGUAUUUCUUGCAGUAUUCGCUAAUGAAUACUUUUUCAUAUGGGAGCUCAAGAAAAGCAGCUGCUAUGCUGUUGUUGGCGAAUGCUUCAUCAUACUUCCAUUGAAUGUCCGUGACUUUUGGUCGCAACUGCUUAACUGUGAGCAUUGAAGAAAGACUAGCUGUGUAGCAUGAGGUGAGAACCAAUACAAGAAAAAGCCACGAGAACAUCACCACUCGAGAUUAUAUGUUUUUUCAUAUUGUUAUUUUGCAUCAAAAUGACAAGGAAGUUUGAGAUUGAUACUCACUAUGAGCAAAGAACAGAGAGGAAAAAGUAAACCAAAAGGCUGUGCUGAGCUGGAGCUUCCAGUUUCCAUGGAACUCUGGGUUGGGUUCUCUCUCAAGAUACCAAACAACUAACAUUGUGUAAAUCAAGAUUGCAUCUGUAACCAGCCACAAUUCCCAGCUGAUUGGGAGUGAGGAAGAUCGCCCUGUUCAUCAGAAAUGCUUAUACUCUCCAAUUUUGGUGAAUUUCUACGACAUUCGGAGAUUACACUUCCUUGAGGAAGUUGAUCAGCUUCUUCAUAGUGGUUAUGGUUACGUAAACGCUUCUUCAACAAAGCUAGUAGUAAGCAGAUGGUGGAUGUGGCAGCACAUAUGACAUAGAGUCCCCAAAAUUUGUCAAGAGUCAGACUCUCAGUUUCUUCUGGAGAUGGUAACGAUGCUUGAAGUACAACAAAAACCCGAGAUUUUAACGGCAACAACUUCAGCAAUUCAUCAAGAACAAACCCUUUUGGAUCAGAUAAAGAAGUGAAUGGUGGAAGAGCUAAUAGAUACUCAAUCUGCAAGUUAAACUUUUCGAGAGCCUCGGAUAAGAGGCUUAACAUUCCAGAUUCGCUACUAUAAGGGUUGUCUUCAUAUAUAACUAUAACUUUCUGAGAGUUGAAAGCAUGAAUCAUAUCAGCUAUGAAGUUCAUUUGUGCAGAAAGAUUUUGUGACAUUUGAAUCAAGAAAGGCCAACGAAGUUGCACUAAUGAUGAUGGGACUGAUGGUGGAGAAGAAAAUGAAAUUAUUGGUACUUGAAACUUGGCUCCAAGGUCAGCAACAAGAGCUGCUUCUUGCCAUGUUUCCAUGCCGAUAAUCACUUUAACUUUUUCUUUAGUGAUUAAUUCUUCAGCUGAAAACCAAUAAGAAGCAAGAUAUUAUCUAUAA
This is a long non-coding RNA of Lathyrus oleraceus (garden pea), 1891 nucleotides long. RefSeq lists it as uncharacterized. The transcript has 8 exons. NCBI's taxonomy places the organism in Eukaryota, Viridiplantae, Streptophyta, Magnoliopsida, Fabales, Fabaceae. The record is from RefSeq and is a predicted model, not a curated record.